UUGUGUUGAUGUGGGCAUUUGCGCAGAAGGUCCAUAAAGUGUUCCCAUGUCUCGAAAAAUUGUUCCCUAUCCUAUUGUGAGAAACUAGUGAUGACCUUCCUCAGCUG
This is a small nucleolar RNA of Malania oleifera, 107 nucleotides long. NCBI's taxonomy places the organism in Eukaryota, Viridiplantae, Streptophyta, Magnoliopsida, Santalales, Ximeniaceae. The record is from RefSeq and is a predicted model, not a curated record.